Molecule: ribosomal RNA, 550 nt
Filed under: uncultured bacterium
Lineage: Bacteria
Description: bacterial SSU rRNA
Rfam family: Bacterial small subunit ribosomal RNA
Source: RNAcentral
GAUUGAGUUUGAUCCUGGCUCAAGAUGAACGCUGGCGGCGUGCCUAACACAUGCAAGUCGAACGAGCAUGUGCAUGAAACCUAGUGAUUGCGCAUGCGAGUGGCGGACGGGUGAGUAACGCGUGGACAACCUGCCGCAUGCAGGGGGAUACCGGCUGGAAACAGCCGCUAAUACCGCAUAUGCGCACAGCGCCGCAUGGCGCAGUGCGGAAAGGGAGCAAUCCCGGCAUGCGAUGGGUCCGCGUCCGAUUAGCUUGUUGGCGGGGCAGCGGCCCACCAAGGCAACGAUCGGUAGCCGGCCUGAGAGGGCGGACGGCCACAUUGGGACUGAGACACGGCCCAGACUCCUACGGGAGGCAGCAGUGGGGGAUAUUGCACAAUGGGGGGAACCCUGAUGCAGCGACGCCGCGUGGGUGAAGGAGUGCUUCGGCAUGUAAAGCCCUAUCGGCAGGGAAGAAGCAAGACGGUACCUGACUAAGAAGCCCCGGCUAACUACGUGCCAGCAGCCGCGGUAAUACGUAGGGGGCGAGCGUUAUCCGGAUUCACUGGGU